UCCCUGGUGGCUCAGACGGUAAAGAAUCUGCCUGCAACACAGGAGACCCAGGUUCGAUCCCUGGGUCGGGAA
This 72-nucleotide transfer RNA is filed under the name Bos taurus (domestic cattle). It matches the Rfam family "tRNA". From Rfam's summary of the family: Transfer RNA (tRNA) molecules are approximately 80 nucleotides in length. Their secondary structure includes four short double-helical elements and three loops (D, anti-codon, and T loops). Further hydrogen bonds mediate the characteristic L-shaped molecular structure. tRNAs have two regions of fundamental functional importance: the anti-codon, which is responsible for specific mRNA codon recognition, and the 3' end, to which the tRNAs corresponding amino acid is attached (by aminoacyl-tRNA synthetases). tRNAs cope with the degeneracy of the genetic code in two manners: having more than one tRNA (with a specific anti-codon) for a particular amino acid; and 'wobble' base-pairing, i.e. permitting non-standard base-pairing at the 3rd anti-codon position. Lineage: Eukaryota; Metazoa; Chordata; Mammalia; Artiodactyla; Bovidae. RNAcentral also lists the same sequence under 5 other names. The record is from Rfam by way of RNAcentral.